This 418-nucleotide ribosomal RNA is filed under the name uncultured bacterium. Its description in RNAcentral is "partial 16S ribosomal RNA". It matches the Rfam family "Bacterial small subunit ribosomal RNA", at positions 356 to 769 of the family's 1533-position model. The record is from RNAcentral.
UGGGAAUUUUGGACAAUGGGCGAAGCCUGAUCCAGCAAUGCCGCGUGUGUGAAGAAGGCCUUCGGGUUGUAAAGCACUUUUGUCCGGAAAGAAAUCCUUGGCUCUAAUACAGUCGGGGGAUGACGGUACCGGAAGAAUAAGCACCGGCUAACUACGUGCCAGCAGCCGCGGUAAUACGUAGGGUGCAAGCGUUAAUCGGAAUUACUGGGCGUAAAGCGUGCGCAGGCGGUUUGCUAAGACCGAUGUGAAAUCCCCGGGCUCAACCUGGGAACUGCAUUGGUGACUGGCAGGCUAGAGUAUGGCAGAGGGGGGUAGAAUUCCACGUGUAGCAGUGAAAUGCGUAGAGAUGUGGAGGAAUACCGAUGGCGAAGGCAGCCCCUGGGCAAUACUGACGCUCAUGCACGAAAGCGUGGGGAGC